This 370-nucleotide ribosomal RNA is filed under the name uncultured cyanobacterium. RNAcentral describes it as "bacterial SSU rRNA". It matches the Rfam family "Bacterial small subunit ribosomal RNA", at positions 376 to 760 of the family's 1533-position model. The record is from RNAcentral. Lineage: Bacteria; Bacillati; Cyanobacteriota.
CGAAAGCCUGACGGAGCAAUACCGCGUGGGGGAGGAAGGCCCUUGGGUUGUAAACCCCUUUUGUCAGGGAAGAACACAAUGACGGUACCUGACGAAUCAGCCUCGGCUAACUCCGUGCCAGCAGCCGCGGUAAGACGGAGGAGGCAAGCGUUAUCCGGAAUUAUUGGGCGUAAAGCGUCCGCAGGUGGCUCAUCAAGUCUGCUGUUAAAGCCCAGGGCUCAACCCUGGAGAAGCAGUGGAAACUGAUAGGCUAGAGUGCGGUAGGGGCAGAGGGAAUUCCCGGUGUAGCGGUGAAAUGCGUAGAGAUCGGGAAGAACACCAGUGGCGAAAGCGCUCUGCUGGACCGCAACUGACACUCAUGGACGAAAGC